CAGUCGAGGGGUAUAGGUUUUCGGACCUAGAGACCGGCGCACGGGUGCGUAACGCGUAUGCAAUCUACCUUUUACAGAGGGAUAGCCCAGAGAAAUUUGGAUUAAUACCUCAUAGUAUUAUUGAAUGGCAUCAUUUAAUAAUUAAAGUCACAACGGUAAAAGAUGAGCAUGCGUCCCAUUAGCUUGUUGGUAAGGUAACGGCUUACCAAGGCAACGAUGGGUAGGGGUCCUGAGAGGGAGAUCCCCCACACUGGUACUGAGACACGGACCAGACUCCUACGGGAGGCAGCAGUGAGGAAUAUUGGUCAAUGGGCGCAAGCCUGAACCAGCCAUGCCGCGUGCAGGAUGAAGCAUCUAUGGUGUGUAAACUGCUUUUGUACGAGAAGAAACACUCCUACGUGUAGGAGCUUGACGGUAUCGUAAGAAUAAGGACCGGCUAACUCCGUGCCAGCAGCCGCGGUAAUACGGAGGGUCCAAGCGUUAUCCGGAAUCAUUGGGUUUAAAGGGUCCGUAGGCGGUUUUGUAAGUCAGUGGUGAAAGCCCAUCGCUCAACGGUGGAACGGCCAUUGAUACUGCAAGACUUGAAUUAUUGGGAAGUAACUAGAAUAUGUAGUGUAGCGGUGAAAUGCUUAGAGAUUACAUGGAAUACCAAUUGCGAAGGCAGGUUACUACCAAUAUAUUGACGCUGAUGGACGAAAGCGUGGGGAGCGAACAGGAUUAGAUACCCUGGUAGUCCACGCCGUAAACGAUGGAUACUAGCUGUUCGGAGCAAUCUGAGUGGCUAAGCGAAAGUGAUAAGUAUCCCACCUGGGGAGUACGUUCGCAAGAAUGAAACUCAAAG
Molecule: ribosomal RNA, 841 nt
Filed under: uncultured bacterium
Lineage: Bacteria
Description: bacterial SSU rRNA
Rfam family: Bacterial small subunit ribosomal RNA
Source: RNAcentral